RNAcentral lists this long non-coding RNA (676 nucleotides) under Nicotiana tabacum (common tobacco). RNAcentral describes it as "long non-coding RNA (NTAB_LNC002656)". Lineage: Eukaryota; Viridiplantae; Streptophyta; Magnoliopsida; Solanales; Solanaceae. The record is from RNAcentral.
CACUCACUUAGGAUCCAUUCAAUUAUCCAUUUCAUGAACAAAGUACUAUUCAAAUACAAUAAAACAUGUUAUAACAGUCCCAAUGAAUUACAAGGUAGAGAGAGUUCAAAUGUAGUCCACAUUACACUAUUUUACAUGGUUGAACUCUAAAGUUUUACACAAAUUCAUUACUUCCACAUAAACUACUAAAACAUCUGUUACUUCAUAUCUAUGACAUUUGAGAAAGAGGUAGGAGAAAUAGACAGAAAAAAAAAAACUAAAAGAAAAACUUAAGUAAACACAUGAAAAUCGAUCUUCAAACACAAAUGAGGUUAUUUCAUUUCAAGCAGACCCCAUAUUUUCUAUACAUGAAAGCCAUAUUUACAUCUUCAGUUGCCAUUCAAUAGUUCAGAGGAAAUACCUGGAAAUUAAAAGGGGAACAAAAAGAGUGAAGAAUCAGCAAACAGCAGCAGCAGAAUCAGCUUUAACAAAAAACCAUCAGUACCAAACAAAUUCAACCUUUUCAAACCAGUAAAGACCCCAGAUGAACAACAAGCUUUGGAGUCUCAAAAACUCUGAUUAUCUAUGAGUUCUAGGGCAGAAUUUAACCAGUUUGGACCAAGAAAAUGCGGGAAUUUUCAGUAUUCUUUCAAAGUUUUCCAAAGACUCAGCCGUUUGUUUUUCUUAAUAUUUUUUA